RNAcentral lists this ribosomal RNA (299 nucleotides) under uncultured bacterium. RNAcentral's name for it is "partial 16S ribosomal RNA". It matches the Rfam family "Bacterial small subunit ribosomal RNA", at positions 1036 to 1335 of the family's 1533-position model. The record is from RNAcentral.
UGUGCUGCGUGGGUGUCCUCCUCUCGUGUCGUGAGAUGUUGGUUUAUCUCCCGUAACGAGCGCACCCCUUGUCCUUUUUUCCCAACACGUUGAGGUGGGCACUCUAAGGAGACUGCCGGUGACAAACCGGAGGAAGGUGGGGAUGACCUCAAGUCAUCAUGGCCCUUACGGCCGGGGCUACACACGUGCUACAAUGGUCGGUACAAAGGGUUGCCAACCCGCGAGGUGGAGCUAAUCCCAUAAAACCGAUCAUAUUCCGGAUCGCACUCUGCAACUCCACUGCGUGAACUCAGAAUCGC